CCAAUAGCGUAUAUUAAAGUUGUUGCAGUUAAAAAGCUCGUAGUUGAAUUUCGGGGUCUGUCCAUUGGUCGGGCUUUACGGUCCGUACUGGUGAGCUGGGUUCCUACCUUCUGAAUAACCAGCAUGCCAUUCAGUUGGUGCGUUGGGGAAGCAGAGCUAUUACCUUGAAAAAAUUAGAGUGCUUAAAGCAGGCUAGUGCUUGAAUAGAUUAGCAUGGAAUAAUAAAAUAGGACGGCAUGGUUCUAUUUUGUUGGUUUCUAGGAUCACCGUAAUGAUUAAUAGGGAUAGUUGGGGGCAUUAGUAUUCAAUUGUCAGAGGUGAAAUUCUUGGAUUUAUUGAAGACUAACUUCUGCGAAAGCAUUUGCCAAGGAUGUUUUCAUUAAUCAAGAACGAAAGUUAGGGGAUCGAAGACGAUCAGAUACCGUCGUAGUCUUAACCAUAAACUAUGCCGACUAGGGAUCGGACGAUGUUAAUUUUUUAAUGACUCGUUCGGCGCCUUACG
RNAcentral lists this ribosomal RNA (502 nucleotides) under uncultured Acaulospora. RNAcentral's name for it is "SSU rRNA". It matches the Rfam family "Eukaryotic small subunit ribosomal RNA", at positions 591 to 1092 of the family's 1831-position model. Lineage: Eukaryota; Fungi; Glomeromycota; Glomeromycetes; Diversisporales; Acaulosporaceae. The record is from RNAcentral.